UGAUUGAUACAACACCUUCAUUGCGAGUUGUGACAAUAAGCUUACUACCCGGUGUCCCUGAUCUCAUUGGCAUGCACAAAAACUCCCAUGAAUCAUGGUUCUCAUUCCAUACAUCGUCUAGGAUAAGAAGAAAUUUCUUCCCGGAAAGGUUCUCCCUUAAUGCCAUCUGAAGCAAAUUAAGAUCAUUAACAUCCUGAGUAUUCGGAGAAACUGAUUGUAGAAUUGUUUUCGUGAUCUUCAAGACAUCAUAAUCAUCAGAAACAUAGACCCAAACUCUCAAAUCAAAAUGAGCUUUUACUUCAUCAUCGUUGAAUGCAAGUUGGGCGAGAGUAGUUUUGCCAAUACCAGCCAUACCGACAACAGGAAUCACGCAGACUUCAUCAGUACAUGAAUCAUCCCUGAGUAACAAGUUGGCUAUGGCUGCUUUAUCCGUUUCCCUACCAUAAACACGGGACUCAUCCACUAAAGAAGUGGUGGGAAGUAUUUCCCUUGUUUUGGUAGACCUCUUCCCAGCAAUAUUCUCUGUUAAAUGGAGAUCAUUUUUUUGUGCAGAAAUUUCUUGUAACCCGGCGGUGAUCUUCUUGAAUUUGGACCACAUCUCCGCAUUAAACUUAAUAGAAUUUGGAGUGAAACUAGUACAACAAGAAGGGAUGAGGCUCCGUAACUUACUUGUGCUAGGUUGAGUGCCAGAAGGAAGGGUUUCCGCCAUCAAAUUGCGUCGCAAAGCUUCAGUGGCGAAGCUGUCCAAGAUGUCCUCCACAUCAUAAGCCAAGUCUCCGAGCUCGUCAAGCCACAUCUUCACCAGGGGGUCCGUCAUAUGCUUCUCCUCUGCGUCAUGGAGGACUACAUAGAUCUUCGUCAAAAUUUUCUUCCACUUGUUAAGCUCAGAAUGGACGUGCUCUUCGCUAGCGAAAUUCCAGAGCUCAGGGGAGGUGACCAUGUCAAUCAGUUUCUGGAUGAGACCAGACAAAACAGCUUCCCCAACAAAACCAGCCAUGAUUCUUUGUUUGUAAGUAGAAAGGAAUUAAUCAAAGAAAGUCUCUGCAGCUCUGAAUAAUGGUUUGUAGGAGGAACCCAAGGGUUUUAAAGGAAGUCUCCGCAACUCAUAUUGUUGAGUCAACACAAAAUAUCUCUAAGGUUCCAUAAAAGGGAAUGGAAUUAAUGCACAGUAGAAAGUGGUUGUGGCGAGGGCCCACAUGGUGUGGAUGAAGUACUAGAGUGUUGCUCCACAUGGGGCUGGUUCCUAGAAAAUAGAGAAAGUUGUGUUUGCAAGUAACAUGACAAUCAAACUCCAAUCAGCUAGAAUAUGAGAUUUGACUAUCAAAGGGGAAAAUAUUAUCUUUUUUGUGCACUCUUUGCUGACUCCAUUUUAUGUUCUUAGAUUGCCCCUCCGUGCCUCCAUGUUAGUUGCAACUUUAUCUCCAUAUCAGCAACAAGCCCUCUAUGUCACAAGAGAGACUGAAAAUUUAAAAAACAGAAAAAUCUGAAUUUGAAACCUAUGAAAAAUCACUUGAUUUGACAACCGGCUGUUAUUUCCCUAAUUUGAAACCUUUCUUCUCUCUGAUUUGGGAACAUUUCUCUCUCUCUCUUUCUCUCCCUCUUGGUUUCAUCACCCACACAAUCUCGAGACCUAUCUAAAAUUUCCCAAAUAUUGUCUCAUUUAAGAGAAAAAAAAAGCAAUAAUCCAAAACUCCAACUUGCAUGUUUUUUUAUUGUCCACAUAAAAGUGCAACGAAAUGGAGCAUUCCAUCCUAAGAAUGUGUGGUUAAAAGACGACUUCAAGAGGCGCAUAUGUGAUUGUGAGUUUACUACAGCAGCGCAUACUCGAACGGAAAGUUGGAAUCCAAAAUAUUGGCUUCGUCAACAAGAUAUCUCUUACUAUCAUUGAGUCACAUUUUGCCCUAACCCUAAAUUGAAAUUGGAAGGUAAAUAAUUUUUAUUUAUUGUUCUUUAGUUCCUUUGUUUGAAAUGGAGCACAUCAACGAUUUUGGAGUCGUUGGUGGACUUGAACUUUUGUGUUGGGUUGUGGAAAUCAUAUUAUUCCCAAAAUAACCAUAUGACAUACAAGUUGCAUUGAAUCCAGAUGGAACUCACAACAUAUCCGGUUGCAAAUCGCAUUAUUAUUUUAGGGAUUGUACUUUAGGUACUACUUUAACGGAGCUUAGGUAGUAUCUUAGUUAAACUUGGGUAGUACUCGUUCGAAGCCUUGGAACUUCAAUUUUGGACAUUACUUACUUCAUUUGUGACUCUUAGAGCAUGCCAUUAUGUGAUUAUUUAGUGUGAUGAAAUGGUUCACCUUUCUUAUUUUGGAGAUUGUACCUUAGGUACUACCUUAAUGGAGAUUAGGUACUACCUUAGUUAAACUUGGGUACUACUUGUCCGAAGCCUCGGAACUUCAAUUGUGGACAUUUCUUACUUUAUUUGUGACCUAUAGAGCAUGCCAUUAUGUGAUUAAUUAGUAUGCUCAAUUGGUUCACCUUUGUUAUUUUGGGGACUGUACCUUAAGUACUACCUUAAUAGCCCUUAGGUACCACCUUAAUCAACCUUAGGUACUACCUUAAUCGACCUUAUGUACUACCUUAGUUAAAGUUGGGUACUACCUAUCUGAAGCCUCGGAACUUCAUUCGUGACCCUUAGAGCAUGCCAUUAUGUGAUUAUUUUGUGUGGUCAAGUGGUUCACCUUUGGUAUUUUGGGGACUGUACCUUAGGUACUACCUUAAUAGCCUUUAAGUACCACCUUAAUCAACCUUAGGUACUACCUUAACCGACCUUAGGUACUAUUUUAGUUAAAGUUGGGUACUACCUAUCCGAAGCUUCAGACCUUCAUUUGUGACCCUUAGAACAUCCCAUUAUGUGAUUAUUUAGGGGUUUUUUUGGUUUCCAUAGGCUGAUAUGGAAAUAUUGGUAAAAUAGAAACCCAUCUUAACAUUUACUUUUUGUUUGAAUGAUUCACUUUUGAAGGGUGAUUCAUCAUAAGGCAAUGCAUGAGAUGAUAAUGACAUGUCAUUUGCUGCUAUGCCCUCGACUGGAGUUGAAGAUGCAUCAUCACAAACUAAUGAAAUAGGUAAUUUGGACUAUAUGCUUAUCUUUUCAAGUAAUUGUGUUAAAUUUUAUUUGCAGUUGAUGUAACCCUUGUAAUCUUUAUUGGUUUGCAUCUUUGACAAGAAUGUUAAGAUCUUUGUUUUCAAUUUUCUUGUACUCAACCAAAUAACAAAAGUUAACAUCUUUAACAAAAAUGCAUUUCCUUGAAACAAAACCGAAAAAAGUGCAUCCAAAGUUCAAACAACCUCAUGACCAUAAUUUUUUAUUGUAGUAUGAGCACUUGUUUUGCAGGAAAUGAAGACUGUAAUCCACCAGCUGAAGAAGAAAGAACCAAUGAGAGAGACAUCGGUUUGGACCAAAACCCGCUUCACUCUCUUCCACACUUGAUCAACUCCUCAACACUAAUAGAUAGUCUUCUAAUGCAAAAACGCAUGAGUUUUUGUAGGUGGAUCAAUGAUAAUGAGCCUAAUGAUAUUUGUACCAAGCAACUCAUACUAGCUACAAUGAUGCAAUUGAAAAAAGUGAUACGUGAGAUGGAUACACACAACAAGAGCAGGUGGGAUGAGAAGCCUGAAUGAAGACCUUUUUGGUUGUUCUGUAUCCUUUUUAUGUUUUCUUUCUUCAGGAGAAGAUGACUCUAUUAUGUUUUUUGUAGUUUUUUUAGAUGAAUGUUAGUAUGGUUCCUAUGGAGAAAGGUUAAAAAAAAUUGAGGAAAGAAAAUAAAUGUUUUUUUAUUUUAUUUUAUUCCCAUUGUCCUAAAAAAAUAUAUUGGAAAAUUUAAUUUUCUCUUAUUUGGACAUUAUCAUGGAUGAUCAAACAAAGAUAACAACUUUCUGAGAACAGGAAUAAUACAGGGUGUACAAGAAGAUUUUUUGGAGAAUGUCUGGAAUGUAGGAGGAGAUGCCUCAGACAAUGCUUGGAAUGUUGAAAUGUGAAAUGGAAAUGACAACCAAACCCACUGUACUUUUCUCACAAACCAAAUGCACCCAAGACAAAUGACACAUUAGAAUCAUAAGGAACAAAACAUAAGCCACUUUCCUUAUUUUAAGAAAGAAAACUUAGGAUUUGUAUGCAAAUUGUUUAAAUAAUAGUUCUUAUUAUUUAAAAUAGAAAAUAGUAUUUUUACUUAGAAAAUAUAUUUAAUAAUUUUUUUAGAAGAUAAAGAAUGAUAGGAGGAUUUGUGUAUUGUAUAAAUGUAUGGUUUCUUUUAGGGAAAAUAAGUCAAUGAAAUUGUUUUUUCAUUAUUUAAGUUCCCAAUAAAGGGUUUUUUUUUUUUUUUUUUUUUUUAAGGUUUUGAAAAAUAAUAAAGAAAAAAGAAUUCCUAUAAUUUUAUCGUCCAUGAUUAAAUUAUAGAUGAGGAAAAUUUCUUUGCCCUUCUUCUUUGUUUUAAUAUUUUUUAAUUACAUUAUUUUUGCAUUAUCCAAAUAUAAUUUAUAUAAAAAAACAAACAUAAUUUAAAUAAUUAGAAAUUUAUUUUUACUUAUAUUGAAAAAAUUUGUACAUAUUAGCUUUAAUUUAAAUUUGAAAUAUGCUAAAAUUUAAUUUCCCUAGAUACAGUUUUUAACUUUACAUCUCAACUAAAAUUUAUUCCUAAGCUUAUGAUGUGUUAAAAAAUCUCAAAUUGUCUUAUGUUGUGAGUUUUAACAAACAAAUUGUCUUAUGUGCCAAAUGUUUGAGUCAUCAUUUUUAGUUUAACAAAGUUGAUAAUAAUAAUCACAUAGUACCUAUGAACACUACGAAAAUAUAUUACUAGACAUUGAUAUUCAUAACACAUUUCCACAACCUAUGUUAAACUAGAUAUUACAAUAAGCAAAACACAUGCUAUAAAGAAGCCAACAAAGAAACUGAUUACAUAUGUAUAUGAAAUAUUUUGCAAGGAAUGCUUAUCAUCAAAUGCAUGUUCAGACUUUGGUUUGCCAGCUGAUGAACAUUCAUUACUUCUAUUCCAUCUUGGUGCAUAAAACAGCUAAACUCGGACAACUUUCUCUCUAGAAGUAUAUGCUUUGUAAACAUUCCCUUUAUAAAGGAGCACAUUCUUUUGACAUUAAACCCAAGAAUCGUACACUCCAUGUCUGCCACCUGCAAACACUACAUACUAUGUUUGCAUGUUCAUCAUCUGAUGACACAAUUGUUGUUGGUUACUUUUUGAUAAUCAAUCAAGUAAUGACUAUUGCAAAAGAUAGUACAAAAGGUAUAUAAUUCACACAUGUAUACCAUAUAUAUUUUAGGAUAAUAAUAGUGAUGAUUAACCACAAAAUUCAAAAUAUAACAAGUAAUGUGUGGGAUUCAAGUUCUAAGGCUUCAUAUAGGUAGUACCCAACUUUAACUAAGGUAGUACUUAAGAUUAGUUAAGGUAGUACCUAAGAUUGAUUAAAGUGGUACUUAUGGGCUAUUAAGGUAAUACCUAAGGUACAAUCCCCAAAAUACCAAAAGUGAACCAAUUGAACACGCUAAAUAAUAACAUAAUGGCAUGCUCUAAGGGUCACAAAUGAAGGUCUGAAGCUUCGGAUAGGUAGUAUUGAUUACUAAUAAAAAACCACACAUUUUAGAUAAUAAUUCUCAUGAGUGUCAUAUCUUUUGGGUAGUAAUUAUGCUUAAAACACUCAAUUAAUAUGUUUUUGCCCUAGCAAGAGUUACUAACAAUUUUUAUGAAGUUUUGGAGUCAUUUCAAGGUAUGAUUUUGAUAAAUUGGUGACAAAAGAGAUGAAUCAAAUUGAAGAGAACAAAUAAAGUUGAUGAUGAUCCAAAUGCACAAUGAAAGAAGUAAUGAAAUUGGUUUGGACCAGGAUUUGGAAUUGAUUUGGAGGUGGUUAAAGUGGAAUCAAGAGAAAGAAAUGGAAGAAAUGACAAAAAAGAGUUGAAAAACUAUGUUUUUCAAUUUCGCAUGAACAUGUGAAAAAUUCGCACAAUUGUGCGAAAUGGAUCAAAGGGGAAUUUGGCUACAACUAAAAGGGAAAAAGUGAAAACUAAUUUCGCAUGACCAUGCGAAAAUUUCACACAGUCAUGCGAAAUGCUCCAGGAAGGUGAAAAUGGUGCUGAUCAAUUUUCCACUUCGCACAAUCGUGCGAAAUUGCAUUUUUUCCAGAUUUCUUGGUGAAGAAGCCUCCGGAAGACCUCUUAGAUGAUGCCAAGUAUCCACUUGACCUUGACCUAUAAAUAGAAACUUGAUUUACUCAUUUGAAGACUUUUUUACAUUUUUCUAAUUGUAGAACUUUCUAGAUUUUCUCUCUAUAAAAUUCUCUAUUUUCCUUCAUUUUCUCUCAUUUUCUCACUAGCCAAACAUGUCUUGUGAGACCAAAUCUCUAAGCAUGAGUGGCUAAAUCUCGUUUUUCUCGGAGGAGGAGAGAUUUAGAGGCAAAAUCUAUGGUGAUCUAUGGUGAAUCGCAAAGGUAAUUUGAUCCAAUUGAUUGAUUAAUUGAAAAUUUUGGGAUUUUUCUCUUCAAAUUGUCUUAGAUGAUUACUACAAUGCAAGCUAGGUAGAUUAAUCAAAUUCUUAAUGCUAGAUUUGAUGAGAUUGAAUAGUUGCAUUGUGUGAAUCAUUGGAAGAUAAUUUAAGAUGAAUUGAAUAUAUGAUUUGAAUUAAUAUCUUGGAUUCGAUGACCUAAUUUGAAGAUAAAUUAUAUCUAGAUCUAAAACUAAAUAAAAAAUCGGUUUCAAUGAAAAUUUAGGUUUUCAAUCUAACUUGAUGAAAAUUAGAUCUUAACAUCUAUUCACCAUAGAGAUUGUUUUCUAAAAAAUCAUAACUCCAAGAAUUUCAUUUUCUAUUAAUUUUCUUCUAUUUUACAUUUCAUUUUCCUCUCAAUUGGGAAUCAUUGUCAUUUUGAAUUGUAAUCAUGAAUUGUCAAAUCAUUUUCACUUAAUCUCAAUCAUUUCUUCUUCUCUCAUUCAAGCCUUGAUUACCAAGAAUAAUCCAUCCUUGUGGACGAUACCUAAAAACCACUAUACUACAAUAGUUUGUACUAAAACCACUUUUUGAUUGGGUACAAAUUGCUAUAGAAUAGUGAAUUAUGUUAUAAAUUUUGUUUUGAUCCAAUAAACGAUAGAAAUCCGAGCGAUCAAGUACCCAAUUUUAACUAAGGUAGUACCUAAGGUCGGUUAAGGUAGUACCUAAGGUUGAUUAAGGUGGCAUCUAAGGGCUAUUAAGGUAAUACCUAAGGUACAGUCCCCAAAAUACCAAAUAUGAACCAAUUGAACAUAGUAAAUAAUCACAUAAUGGGAUGCUCUAAGGAUCAGAAAUAAAGGUCUGAGGAUUCAGAUAGGUAGUACCCAACUUUAACUAAUGUAGUACCUAAGGUCGGUUAAGGUAAUACCUAAGGGCUAUUAAGGUGGUACCUAAGGGCUAUUAAGGUAGUACCUAAGGUACAGUCCUCAAAAUACCAAAGGUGAACCACUUGACUACACAAAAUAAUCACAUAAUGGUAUGCUCUAAGGGUCACGAAUGAAGUUUUGAGGCUUUAGAUAGGUAGUACCUAACUUUAUCUAAGUUAGUACCUAAGGUCGGUUAAGGUAGUACAUAAGGUUGAUUAAGGUGGUACCUAAGGGCUAUUAAGGUAGUGCCUAAGGUAUAGUCCCCAAAAUAAGAAAGGUGAACCAUUUCACCACACUAAAUAAUCACAUAAUGACAUGCUCUAAGGGUCACAAAUGAAGUAAGUAAUGUCCACAAUUGAAGUUCCAAGGCUUCGAAUAGGUAAUACUCAAGUUUAAUUAAGGUAUUACCUAAGCUCCGUUAAGAUGGUACCUAAGGUACAGUCCCCAAAAUAACAAUGCGACUUGCAACUGGAUAUGUUGUAAGUUCCAUCUAGAUUCAAUGCGACUUGUAGGUCUUAUGGUUAUUUGGGAAUAAUAUGAUUUCCACAACCCAAUACAAAAGUUCAAGUCUACCAACGACUCGAAAAUCGUUGCUGUGCUCUAUUUUAAACAAAGGAACUAAAGAACAAUAAAUAAAAAUUAUUUACCUUCAAAUUUCAAUUUGGGGUUAGGGCAAAAUGCGACUCAAUGACAGGAAGAGAUAUCUUGUUGACGAAGCCAAUAUUUUAGAUUCCAACUUUCCGUUCAGGUACGCACUGCUGUAGUAAAUUCACAAUCACAAAUGCACCUCUUGAAGUCGUCUUUUAACUGGACAUUCUUAGGAUGGAAUGCUCCAUUUUGUUGCACUUUUAUGUGGAUAAGAGAGAAACACACAAGUUGGAGUUGUGGAUUAAUGGUUUUUUUUUCUCUCAAAUGAGACAAUUUUUGGGAAAUUUUAGAUGGGUCUCAGGAUUGUAUGGGUGAUGAAGCUAAGAGAGAGAGAGAAAUGUUCCCAAAUUAGAGAGAAAAAAAGUUUCAGAUUAGGGAAAUAACAACCAUUUGUCGGGUCAGGUGAUUUUUCAUAGGUUUCAAAUUCAAAUUUUUCUGUUUUUAAAAUUUUCAGUCUCUCCUAUAACACGGAGGGUGUGCUGCUGAUAUAGGGACAAGGUUACAACUAACAUGGAGGCAUGGAGGGGUAAUUUAGGAACAUAACAUGGAGUUAGUAAAGAGUGCAUGAGAAAGAUAAUAUUUUUCCAUUUGACAGUCAAAUCUCAUAUUCCAGCUUAUUAGAGUUUGAUUGUCAUAUUACUUUCAAAUAGCUGGCUACGAACACAACUUUCCCUAGAAAAUAUGAUAUGAAGUACCACUUUUUCUGUUUAAGUCAUAAGUCAUAACUAACAAGUUAGUCAAAUCCUUGCUUUUUUUUCCCCCCCAAAUGCAGUUCUUAAAUAGUAACCAUAGACGGUUCUUUGGGUAAUGUUGAAAAUCAAUUGAAAAGUUAAGUGAGUGUUUAAUUAAUUAAAUUUACUUUAAGUUUAAUUAUUUUUAAGUUGCUAAUUUAAAAUUUAUGAUUUAUUUUUUACUUUAAGCAUUAAAAUUGUUUGAUAAAAUUAUCUUAAAAUUUAUUUUAAGUUAUCAAAUUGAAAUAUUUGCUCUCAUAGUUGUAAUUAACAUUUAUCAUUAUUAAUUUUAACUAAUAUUUAUUUUCAUUAAUCUUAAUUAAUAAAUUUGUUUAUUAAACUUUCAUACUUAAAUAAAUAUAUCAGACAACUUUAAAAUAUUUACUAUGAAAAAUGAGACAUGGAUGUAAAGUCAUGAUUGUUAAAUAUAUUCUUAAUAGAUUAUGGACAAAUAAGAUAAAAAAGAUUUGGGAUAAAAAAAAAGUUAAUUAUUUUUAUUUAAUACUUUAAAGUCAUUUUUAAAUUUAAGUUAUGAUAUUAAAUUAUUUUACUAAACAUGUUUAAUCUAUUUAAUAACUUAAUUUAAGUUAUUAAAUCAUUUUAAGUCAUUAAAUUAACUUACUAAACACUAUUUAAAAGUGUCAUUAGUCGAGAAAAGGUUGCAUUUGAUGCCUUAAAUAAAGGCCAAUUCAUAGCUGAAUUACUAUAAACUCUAUUACCAUGCUUGAUACAUGUACGAGGACUAUCCUAGCAAGCUUAACAAACCAAAUUAAGUGGUGCUAAAUUUGUUUAAAAGGAUUUGAAUAACUACAUAAGGUAAAUAUUGUAAGUGAAUUUUAAAAUAAAGAUUUUUAUUCUUUUUUAUAAAAUAAAGAUUUGACUAACCAUAUUUAUCCUUUUUAUAAAAUAAAUAUUUUUAUUAUUAAAUGGUUUUAUACUAAAAUUUGUCUUCUUUUAAUUCAUUUUUUUUUAUUAUUAUUAGUUCCUUCAUGUAAAAAAUUAAAAUAAACAACUAUUUCAAUGGAUACAUGAGAAUUAUAUUAAAUCACACUCUAUUUUUAAUUGAAUUAUGUUAAAUUUGUACUUAUUUUAAAAUAAAAUAUUUUUUCAUUUAUUUAAUAUAAAAAAAUUAGAAUUAUAAAUAAAAUCUACUUAAUUCAUUUACAAGAACUAAUUUUUCAAUAAAGGGUUAAUGAAAAAACUAAAAAUCACUAUUAUAUAUUUUUAAAUGAUUUUGACGACAAAAUAAAAUUGAUGAUGAAAUAAGUUAGUAACACAUUUUAUUUAUUUAUUAUUGUGAAGUCUAUGCCAAUCCAAACUAGGUAAACACGUAAGAGGGGGUGAAUUAGUCAAAUUUAAACAAUGUUUACUAAAAUAAAUACAAAUGACAAUAAAUGAAAAUACAAGUAAAUAAAGAGAUAUGAAACAAAAGAAAUGCAAACGAUUUAUAGUGAUUUGACAUUGUUAGGAUAGAGUCUUUAAGAGAAUGACAUGGUACAAUAAUAUACGAAUUUAUUAUUUAAAUUAUGAUCCAAUUUCCUAAAUCUAUUUAUCCUUUUCAUACAUUAUACUUUCUCUGCAUUUAGGUCCAACAUCUCUUACAUUAUAUAUGACUUAAGUGUAUUAGGAGUUGAUCGGAAGAUCCAAGUUAUAUAUUUCUUGUAAGGAGAUGAGUUGUUCACAACUAAUUUAUGAACUUAAACAAUCCAUUUGAGGUUGUCGUGCACAUCUCAUAAUUGAAGGGAUAACUUAUCUUGGUUAUGGAGAUGAGUUUCCCUAGUUAAUGCACUAAUGUGUAUGGUUACAUAUUAGACAAGACUUAUAGUAAGUCAUAAGAUUGGUUAUCAAGUAGCCAUGAUCUCACUAAACUACUAUAUCAUAUGUGCUCUUAACUUUGAGAGGAUACUAAGUGUUAAAGUCUAUAGUGGCUUUGACCUAUGGGUAAGACCCUAAUUAGAUGGUCAUAUAUUCCUUAUGGAUUCAGUCACUAUUGAUUGAGGUAGGUGACAACAAGUAUACUUAAGAUAGACACCAUGAUAUUUCAUAAGUUUGAGACAAAGUGUCCUCUUGGAUGAUCCUAAGGACAUGUGAUCAGGAAAUCUAUGGUCGUAGUAAUUCCUUAAUUGAAAUUUAACAUAUGCUCUUGGAGAGCUAGAAUAUGUCAAUUGGUUACAUAAUAGGAAAAUAUGAGACUCAAUGAUUGUAAAGAUAAUCUUGAGAGGUUGAUAGUAUUCACCUUGUUAAAUUAUAGACAUGAGUUCAUAGAGAGUAUGCAUAGAGUGAAUAGUAGGUCAUGAGCUCAAGUUCUUAUAUCUUGUUGUAAUAUCAUAGGAUACAAGAGUGCAAUUGACUCUUUAUAGUGGAAUGUUAAGUCAACUUCAAAAUUGAAUUAUGAAGGAGCUAUUUUUAUUUUCCUAUGGAUCCUGACAUUCUUCGUUCCCUUCAUAUGUUUUUACAAUUUUUGGUUUCCACCAUUAUGACCCAUACACAUAAACUCAACCCCUGGUCAAUGUCAUAACUUAGCAGUUUCUGAAUUGUUGUACGAAUCAACCAAGUUUUUGAGGAGGUUCAAAAUUUUCUCAUCUGCUAUCUACUGGUUGCAUUAGAAAUAAUGACAUGUUUAUCUUUAGGCCUAGGGACUAAGUAUCACACAUCAUUUCUAGUGAAUUGAUUUAACUCUUCUUGGAGUUCAAUAGUCCAAGAGUCGUCACCUAAGCUUCUUCCAUAUUCUUUGGCUCCAAUUGGAGGAUAUAACAUACAAGACCCAUCUAGUUUAAUCUUAGUUGUCUCCUAGUAACUACACAUUCAUUUAUAAUACCUAUUACAUUUGCUAGUUAAACGAAAUUUAAUAUGUAGUUAAUGAGUCUAAUAUUUUUUUUAAAAAAAAUAACUUAAAAUUCAUAAAACACUUAAAUCAAUGUAAGAAAAUAAUAUACCAAAAAAACUAAUACAAAACAAAUUAUCUCUACUAUUUUUUAUUUGCAUAUAACAAUAGACAUAUUUUUAAUUUUUUCAUUAUACAAAUAAAUUCUAAAUCAAACGAGACAAAGAGUAUGUUUGAUAUUGAUUUUUAAAAAUGUUUUUAGUCUUUUUAACACUUAAAUAAUAAAAAAUUUCAAAUGUUAGAAAUGCUAGAAGUAAUUUCUAAAAUCACUGCUAAACGAGCUCUAAUAAAUUAAGACUUAGAGGGUGUUUGGUAAAAUCUAAUAUUAAUUACUUAAUCAUUUGAGUUGAUUUUGAGUUAAAUCAUAAUUAAAUUAUUUACUUAAAACUUAUUAUUUGAUUUUUAUUUUAAGUACUAAAUCAUCGAUUUGACAUACUUACAAUUAUGAAUUUUAACUAUUAUUUACACUUAUUAGUUUUAAUAACUAUUUUUUAUUAUUAAUCUUAAAAAAUAAAUUUGUUUGUUAAAUAUUUAUAUUUAAAGUAUUGUAAAUAUAUAAGAUAAUCAUAAUAUAUUUACCAUAAAAAUCAAUCAUCGAUGUAGAGUUAUAGUUGUAAAAUAUACACUCACUAUAUGAGGGUUAAUGAGAUAAAAUAGAUUUGACAUUAAGAAUAAAUUAACUAUUUUAACUUAAUAUUUAAAAGUUAUUAUUAACUUUAAGCUGUAAUAUUAAAUUAUUUUACUAAACAUGUUUAAUCGACUUAAUGAUUUAAAUUAAGUUAUUAGAUCAAUAAGUCAAUUUCUCAAACAACCUCUUAGAGUUCAUUUGAGAGUAUUUUUAGAAAAUGCUUCAAAAUUGAUCCAAAAUACUUUGUUUAGAAUUGAGUAAUAAAUAAGUACCUACAAUAAAAAAGCUUGGCUUAUUUAUAUGUAUAUUUUUUUUUAAAAAAACUUUGUUUAGUUUUAAAUUCAUUUUAAAUAAAAUAUUUUAACCAUUCUUAUUUUAAAAGUAUUAUUAUUCAUUAUAUAAAGAAUUCAAGUAUGCAUUUACAAGUAUUAUUCUAAUUUUUAAUAUAUUGGAAUAUUAGAACAUUAAAAUCUAUAACACCUAAAAUUGGGAAUAAAGUAAAUAAUAAAAUUUUAUUUUAACUUUGAAUAUAUCUUUUUAAAUAUGCUUAUGUCAUUUAAUAAAAUUAGAAAUAUUAAUAUAUUUAUAUAUUAUCAUGAUGCUUUAACAUGUCAAUAUUAAAGAUAAAAAGAUGAAAUAUCUUUACUUAUUUAAUAUUAUAAUAUUAAAUAAAAAAUUUAAGUUUAAAUUAUGUAUAUAUAUAACAUUUAUUUUUAAUUUUAAUAAUAUAUAAAUUAUAUUUAUGACAUUACUGUUUCAUCAGUAAUUUAUAUGCGAAAACAGAGGAUUGACCUGUAUUUUGCAAGUUAAAAAGUAAAAUAUAGAGAAGGAAGAAAGAAACAAGAAGAAAAUAAUAGUAGUACACCUUUAUUAAACUUCAAAUCCAAGUCAAAGGAGUAAGCCCACAAGUACAGCAAACAUUAAGAUAACAAGAAAGAGGAAUGAUAUACACAGGCAGCAUACAUUCUUAUUUCCCAAAGGAAAUUUUUGUUGCAUCAUCACUUGUAAAGUCCAGAGUUUGUAGUUGUUGGCUGUGGGCGAAUAUUUACAAGCAUACUGAGAAUUCAAGGGCAGCAUGCAAUGUUCAACAUGGACAAAUUAUUCAACUGUGAGCAAGAUAAAUUAAACAAGAUAUAGGCUUCAACACAACAGAGAUAAUCACAUUUGAGCAGGCCAUUUUUCUGGCUCGUUUGAUUCAGCCAUGCAUGGGUUUUUGAGGAAGUUUGUCUUCAAUCCACCUCUUCAAUAGCUCUAGUGCAGCUCAGGGCUGACCAGCAUCAUGGACCUUUUUAUUGUUACAUAUAAACCAAACCACCAUGUUAGUACUAGCAAUCAUCUGCUUCCUUCCUAAGUGUACUGCUAUGUGAGAAAGAGAUGGUUUGAGAGAGAGACCUUGAGGAAGGUAAGACUGGUCUCUUCAAGUGUAUACAGCAAUGCCUUGGACACCUCUAUACUUUCUGACAUUUUUAUUUUCCAGCUGAUAUCAAACACAAAAAGAAGAGUGAAAUCUUGGAUGAGUGAUGCAGAAUGCUAAACUUGUAUAAGGGUCUAUUUGGCAGCAGAAAUGAGGAUUCUUUUAUUUAUUUAUUUAUUUUUUCUGAGAAAAGAAGAAAUGAAAAUGGAUUAAAAACAUGAUGAAAACAUCAAACAUUUCAAAAUAAAAAAAAUAAAAAAACAUGUUGAUAACUCAAAGUAACAUAUUCAUGCUUGCCAAUCUUCAAUCUUAUUGAUCAUUUUUACAAUAGCAGAAAAGAAAGUCCUAAUAAGCAUUGACCACCUUCAUCGUUCUUUUCUUCUUACCUGAGAGAAGAAAUUCUGAAAAUGAAGCACUAAAUUUAAAAAAUGAGGCAUUAACUUUGAAAAACAGAUAAUCAUGAAUUGUUGAGGUCAAGAACAUACUGACAUGCAAAUAUGUAGCUUGAAUUUUGGAAAUUUUGGAUUUCACCUGCAUCUUCUUUUUAUUCUUUCUUUCCUAAAUGUAGAGAAGAAACUUCCAUUCUUUAUCUGAAAAUGAACUCACUAUUAGGGCAAUGAAAACAGAAGCUGCACAUUGUGAGUGGGCAGGCUUACCUUAUUGAAAAGAGGAGAAGACAUAUUGUUGCUUUCAUUUUAAGCAGCCCAUAUGAUGAGUAUCUAAUGGCAGGAAAUGGAUGUGGGAUGUCUUGAUCUGAAAUAAAGAAGAACAGCCCAGUUAAGCAUGUCAAAAGAGUCUAGACACAGUUUUAGGUUUAGGUUUAUUCUAUUUAUUAAGAACAUAAAAUCAUAAGCAAAUUCAAUAGAACAGUAGAACUAACCAUGCUUGUGUGGAACUGAGGCCAACAAGUUAAGAGAAAAUGCCAAUUAGUAAGAGCUGCUAAAGCCAUAUAUUCAUGAGAGGACAAUCUGGAACUGGAGUUGAGUUGCAAAUAGCCAUACCUGAAUGAUUUUUUUUUUGCAUGUAGAAAACAUGGAAUUCAUCUUAGAACAUUGUUAUCAGUCCCUUAUCUCAAGUCUUGGAAAUGUUUCUGGAAGCCCUUUGGACUGGAGCUCAUGGCACCCAUAGACGGAUAUACUGUCAAGAGAAGGGAGGUUUUUGAAAGCCAGGGAGGCCAUGGAAUCCAGUUUACUAAUCAAAAGUUUGCUCAGAGUUGUAGGAAAAAGACAGCCAUCAUCUGUAGAGAAGCCAGACCUGGACAUAGGCUAGAAAUAUACAAUGAUGAAAGAGAAGCAAGUGGGCCUGUCCUGGUUAGCACACAAUCUCUGAUAGAAAGUGGUGCAGGGUUGCAGGCCAAACUGCAGAGUCCUCUGCUUCUCCUGGUUAGCACAAAUUUCUAAUUACAAAUAUUUAAGAUUGUGAGGCAGCCCUUGUUCCUCCAAGGUUACAAGUCCAUGGCACUGCCAGAUCCCUAUACAUUCAACACCACCGAGGAGGCAUUCCAAUCAAAACCUGCUCUGCUACAAAGACGUCACUUCCCCACACCCUCUUAACACCGUUUUUUAAAAUCGGAAAUUUCUUGAUUUUAAGCAUUGAGAGUGUUGCAGGGAGCCCUUUCCUUCAGCAAACAUGACCAGAGAAUUUCAAUGGCAUCAAAUGUAGAAACUAGCAUUUCAAUAGUAUCAAAGUACAAACUUCGAUUUCAAUAAUGUCAAAAGUAGAAAAUUGUAUCAAGUUCAUAACAAUUGUCUUUUAUGAAUGAGAUGGACUCUGCUUCCAUUUUUGUGAUAUAUAUGGAAAUAAAAUUCAACAUGAGUUUAUUCAUAUGUGAAAAGCUAUCAUUAUGUAGGGAUGUGCACUAUCUUGGACUAAUUUCUAUAUUUGGAAGUGUGGCCAUCAACAGCCCUUCCUUGGCAAAAGGCACCCAAGCUUAGGUGACUCCUAGUACUCCAAGAGGAGUAAGGCUGUGGAGCUGCAUGGAUGGAUUGAAAUGACCCCAACCAUGUAGAUAUUAUUCACUCUAGGUCCUUUGGCCCCUUAACUUACUCUCAAUAGAGGGACACCUCACUGGGGUUAAGGUUGGGGAUCAACUUUGAUAUCAUUUGUAACGUCCUACUUCCAGUCAUAUUGUUCGCUUUGGACCCAAGGAGCCUUUUUCAAUUUAAAACAUGUUACAUUGUUAAGAGAAACUCAUACAUAUAUAGUGCAAACUGCCAAGAAGUUUUUCUCCUAUCCAAUGUGGGAUAUCUUAUAGAUUAUAUUUAGAGGAAGCAUACACAUACUCUGUAACAGUGGUGAAAUUUUGAAGAGAGGAGAGUUUAUGCAUGCCCCACUUGGUCAGGGCUCGAUAUUCCUGCAGUCCAUGAUGCAAGGUGAUACUAGGUUGAAGCAACAGCCCAUUUGAACUAACCGAAUCUAUGACUUGAAUUAAAAUUUGCAAAAACCAAAAAACCACCUCUUUAGGUUCCUGGCCUUGCUAAAAUCAUAUUUUGGAUAAGAAGCAAGAUGCCAUUUCUGAACACUACAACCAACUUCCAAGAACCUUUGGAACCGGAGCAAGCAAAUGAUCUCAACAUAUUGUAUUAUAACCUUAUCAUUAAUACACAUCAAACACUGAAUAAGACUAUUUAACUAUUGCCAUUUUCUUAAUCUAAGAAAUACCAUGCCAGUUUCAAAUAUUCAUAAAUGUAAUGCACAUUUAUAAAGAACCAUAUUUAAGGCAUUAUAUGUGCUUGUGUGCUUAAAAAUGACAAACUCUAUUGAUAAACUUUAAAAAGAAAAGAUGUCUUACCAGAGUCAGCCAUGAAAUAGCAUUUCUGGGCCGAAGUUACCACAGUCAACAAUACUGCAAAAGAUGACAGAAUUCCCAAGGCUCUUAAUCUUGAAAAUAAUGUAUCUUUGUAAUGGAGGAUUAUGGACAAGAGCAACAUGAAAAACAAAAAAAUUAAGAAGAAAUACCAAGCCAUGAUUGCAGCAAGAAAUGAAGAAUAUACCAGCAAGUGAAUAGGUAGCAGUUAGUGAUUAGGAAGUUUUGCAUCUAAUAAUAUUCACCUUUUUCUUUUUCCUUCCUACAUGUUGAGAAGAAAUUUCAAUCAUUAUCUAAAAGUGGAAUUGAUAUUGGAUCAAUGAAAUUGGAAGCCAGGCAUCCUAAAGAAGCAGACAUAAUACCUAUUUGUUUGCUUUCAUUUCUUGACUAGGGAAAGAAGAAUUAUUAGGAAGAACGAUCCAUCAUAUUGCAUGUAAUAAGAAUUGGAAACACAUAAGAAUAGACCAGUUUGGGGGCCAUGAUGCUAUUAAAGGUGGAAUAGAAUGUCAUUGAGGUUUCCUUCAUAUGAAACAUAUGAGUGAUAUACCAAUUAGGCAGGGCCAGAGGCUGCUGUAAGCAUGUGUUAUUUAUAGAAAGACAAAAUUACAUUAGAAUUAAUAGAAAAGUAGAAGUAACCAUGCUCACCCAGAAUUGAGGUAAAGAACAAAAAAGGGAAUCACGAAUUUAAUAGAAAACCCCCAAUCAAUAACUGCAGCCAAGCCAAAAUCACCUAUCCAUCAAGAGAAUGGAUCAUGUCUCAUCUCUCUCUCUCUCUUCUUGUUCACCCUGUGCACUACUUGCCAUAUCCUUAUUAAGCCAGAUCCCUGUGAAUUUGCAAUGAAAAUUGGCAGUCCAAUUAGCAUAUGGACAAAACAGGGAGAACUUCAUACAUUUAUAGACAUGAGCUCUUUUCAGAUAGUUAGUACAUAGUUGUCGCUUUAUAAUUACACUUCAAGCGGUUGAAGGAAUAAUGUUCAGAAAGAAAUUGGAGUAAGAAACAAUGUAAAUAUUUAUAAAAUUAGAAAUGUUAUACCAUGAAGCUAUUUGGAAAAGCAAACAACAAUCCUCAUUCUUUCAUUCAACACCAGCUUUAGCCCCUUGCUGCCAUGGUUAGCUUAAGAUUCACUGACUACCAAUGUAUGUUUACUUUUUUCAUCUUGUCCUAGAGAAGUUUAAGAAUGAAUAUGAUUCUUUUCCUUGGUUAAAAGAAAUGUUUCAAGUUUCAAAAUACAUUUUUGCUUCCACAACUAAAAACUCCUAACAUUUGAAUGGAAAUUCACAUCUGGGUAUCCAUGGCUAAGUCCAUUAAAUAUACUUCUAAGACAAUAAUAUUAAAAAUAUGAAAAUAAAAAACUUAAAAAAAAAGGGGGUGGGGGUGGGAAAGAAAAACAAAAAGAAGUGAAAACAAGGUUGUACCUGAUUGAACAAUGAAAGGAUAGCGUUGAAUGGCUUUCUGUUUCCAUUCUGUUUCCACCACAUGUAGAAUACUUUACUCUGCCAUCAAUUUUGAAUUUGGGGAUGUCGGCAAUGGAGGGAAAUUUUGUUUCUUGAAGAAGAGGACAGCCAAUGAUUUCAAGACUUGCAAGUGCUAUUGGCCUUAGCCUUAAGGAGUGGAGCUUAGGGCAGCACCCAAUAUAUAGAUGUUGAAGGGAGAUGAUGUUUUUGAGAUCCAGGGAGGUCAGGGAUUCCAUAUAGUUGAUAUGGAGGUUAGUGAGAGGUGUAGGAAAAAGGCACUUAUCGUCCCAAAGGGAAGCCUUGCCUGGGAACAUUUUCCAAAUCUUCAAUGUCGAAAGAGCGGUGAGGGUGUGGAGGCCCCACUCAGAUACGGGAGUCUUCAGAUUCUUGCAAUUUAUAAUUGAAAGAAAUUUUAGAUUGGGGGCCAAACCCCCUUCUGGGAAGGACUCCAGUCCCGGAGAAUCCUCCAUGCUGAGAACCCGAAGAGAUGUGAGGUUUUUCAUUUGAUGGGGCAAGCACUUGAGAUUCUCACAUCUCCAAAUACGGAGCUCUCUGAGGUUGGGGGCGGAAAACCCUCUUUCUGGAAACCCCUCCAGACCUCCACAGUCUUCUAUUUUGAGCUGCUUGACGCUGUGAAGGCAUUCUGGUAGGAUUUUCAGAUUGGGAUAACCCCUCAACUCUAAAUACUCAAGAGCUGUAUUAUUGGGCCACAUUUUCUCUGAUACUGGCUCCAAGUUGGAGCAAUGCCGAAUCUCAAGCCGCUCAAGGGUGGGGGGUAACUCCCCUCUUGGGAAGAACUUGAGAGACUUGCAAUCAUGUAUCCUCAGUAUUUGAAGACAACAAUCGUUGUUGCUGUGUAUGGAAUUGCGGUGCAUCAUUCCAUCUGGUAGAUACUUUAGCCGUAUACAAUCUGCAACCAUCAGUUGCUUGAGGGUGGAGGGUAACCCACCAUGUGGAAAGCAGAUGAGAGAUGGACAACACCUAAUCUCCAAGGAUUCAAGGGGACAUGAGCUGUAGUUAUGGGGCAGCGACCUCAGGCUCCUGCAUUUCUGCAGCACAAGACGUCUCAGCAUGGGCGGCAAACCCGUCUCUGGGAAUGACUCCACUGCUAGGCAUCCCAUCAUUUCCAGCUCUUCAAGACAAGUGAGAUUCUGUAAUCCAUUUUGCAGGCUCUUCAGGUUGACGCAGUCGGCUAUCUUCAACAUUUUCAGAUGGCUAGGCAGUCUUUGGUCAUCCAAUGAUACAAGCCAGUCACAGCGGCCAAUCACUGCGCUUUCAAGACCACUGCAAACCCACCUAGAUGUCAGCUGAUCACGACUAUCUGCAACCACCCCACUUCUCAACACCAUAUCCUUGCAUUCUUCUAUAUUUAGUUCACCCAGAGAUGCAAAUCUUGAGAAUGGAACUGCCAGAUUUCGACAUUUAGAGAUGUCAAGUUUCACCAAGGAUGGCAGGCAAUCAGGCAACUGUUUAACUAACUUUGAGCAGUUCCUUAUGGUAAGCUCUCUAAGGCGUGGAAAUAAUUCUACUCCUUCAACCGCAUCAGGAAAAAACCAGUCUUCCCAUUUCGGCAUAUUCUCAAACUUUAGAAACUCCAGGGAUGGAAAAGGCUGGACAACCCCUCCAUAGAACUCCACAUCUAUGGUUCUAAUUUCACUCAUCCCCUUGAUAUGCAAGGUCUUGAGGAAGGAUAAUUUGCCAAGAGAUGGUAAUGAGGUGCAUCUUUGGCAAUUCUUUAGAAUUAAUUGUGUCAUUGAUGGGAAUGAGGGGUCCCUUAUCCAACCUAAAAAUGUUGAUCCACCAUAAUAUGCCACUGUGAGCUUUUUCAAGUUUGUGGGUGGUCGUAGCCCUGCCAAAACAUUCAUCUCAUUCAUUUCAUUUCGUGGUUUAUCAUAAUCGCUGUCCCAUUCCAUCGUCAACUCUUCAAUGUUGUGCUUUUCUUCUAACUUAGCAUGCAUCGCAUCUUGACUAUUCACCACAUUAUGCAACCCUGAAAUGGAAAGCUUUCCUCGAAGAUCCUGCAAGUUCUCCAAUUCUCUUAUUCUGGAAUUAUCAUUUUUGCCCACAAUAUAUUUAGAUAAUGUUUGCAAAUUUGUUAGGUUGCUGAUCUUGAAAGGCAUCUCUUGUAGUUGACUUGUACCAGAAAUAUCAAUAUGUCGAAGGUUGAUUAGGCCUCCAAUCACAACAGGCAACUUAGUGAGUCUCCAACAAUCAGAUAAUAUCAAUGUCUGUAGGUUAUAAAGAUGUCCUACUGAAUUAGGUAACAUUUUUAUUGAAGAGUUAGACAAAUUGAGAUAGCGCAAAUGUCUCAAAUCACCAAUCGAAUGUGGUAGCUCUCCACUUAUGUAAUAGCCACUUAAAGAUAAUACUCGUAAACAUUCAAAUUGCUUUACAAGAUUAUUUAUUACCUUACUUGGUAUGAAGUGAUAUCUAGAAAAUGCAUUGAGUGGCAAUGAGAUUAGUGUUCUCAAACACUUCAUCUUAUGAAAGGCUUUGAAUCUUUCAAGCAUCUCAUACUCUUGACGAUUGAAAGAUGAGUGACGAGCCUUCUUAAAAGUGGUGGAUUGGUUAUUAUUCACUAAUAUACCCUCCAAAUUAAAGCAGAAUUCUCCCGCUACAUAUUGAGCUAGAUCAUUGAUUAGGUCAUGCAUCACAAAUCGUGAUGAAUCGUGAUUAGAUUGUUGAAAAAAUGACCUUGACAAUAAAUCAUAGAAGUAUUUAGAACCCAAAUCUUCUGGUCGGGUAUUUUCCUUUGUUUGUUGAAAAAAACCCUCAGCCAUCCAUAAUUGGAUUAAUUCAUCUUUGUCGAAUUCAUAGCCUUUUGGAAAUAUCGAACAAUAGGCAAAACACUUCUUCAAAUGAGAAGGGAGAUGAUGAUAGCUCAACUUGAGUGCAGGAAGAACUUGACUUUUGUCCUCAGGUAGAUCCCAUAUCUUACUUGUUAAAAUAUUUUCCCAUGCAUCAUGACUUACUUGGUUGCGCAACAUGCCACCAAGGGCCUUUGCUGCCAAAGGCAAGCCCUUGCACCUUCUCACUAUUUCCUCGCCAACUUCUUUCAAGUGUGAAUGAGCAUCGAAAUUACUUUUCCCUAAUGCUUGUUGAGUGAAUACAGAUAAACAAUCUUUGUAUGCUAACUCAUGAAGACGAUAAGCUCGGUAAGUUCGAGUGAUUGAUGCAACACCUUCAUUACGGGUUGUGACAAUAAGCUUACUACCCGGUUCCCCUGAUCUCAUUGGCAUGCACAAAAAAUCCCAUGAAUCAAAAUUCUCAUUCCAUACAUCGUCUAGGAUAAGAAGAAAUUUCUUCCCAGAAAGGCCCUCCCUUAAUGUCAUCUGAAGCAAAUUAAGAUCAUUAACAUCCUGAGUAUUCGGAGAAACUGAUUGUAGAAUUGUUUUCGUGAUCUUCAAGACAUCAAAAUCAUCAGAAACAUAGACCCAAACUCUCAAAUCAAAAUGAGCUUUUA
Molecule: long non-coding RNA, 21379 nt
Filed under: Vitis vinifera (wine grape)
Lineage: Eukaryota; Viridiplantae; Streptophyta; Magnoliopsida; Vitales; Vitaceae
Description: long non-coding RNA (VVIN_LNC004291)
Source: RNAcentral